AUACGUAGGGAGCAAACGUUGUCCGGAUUUAUUGGGCGUAAAGGGCUCGUAGGCGGUUCAACAAGUCGGUCGUGAAAGCCCGGGGCUCAACCCCGGGACGCCGGUCGAAACUGUUGUGACUAGAGUUCGGUAGAGGUGAGUGGAAUUCUCGGUGUAGCGGUGGAAUGCGCAGAUAUCGAGAGGAACACCAUUAGCGAAGGCGGCUCACUGGGCCGAUACUGACGCUGAGGAGCGAAAGCGUGGGGAGCAAACAGGAUUAGAAACCCCGGUAGUCC
RNAcentral lists this ribosomal RNA (275 nucleotides) under uncultured bacterium. RNAcentral's name for it is "partial 16S ribosomal RNA". It matches the Rfam family "Bacterial small subunit ribosomal RNA", at positions 523 to 796 of the family's 1533-position model. The record is from RNAcentral.